Molecule: long non-coding RNA, 1845 nt
Organism: Chenopodium quinoa (quinoa)
Lineage: Eukaryota; Viridiplantae; Streptophyta; Magnoliopsida; Caryophyllales; Amaranthaceae
Exons: 2
Source: RefSeq, a predicted model, not a curated record
CAUCUGAACCCACUCUCCUCCUUGCGUUUCUUGUUCUUCAAUAAUACAAAUACUUUGUGUAUUCUUUUGAAACAAAGAAUAAAACAAGUAAAUGUAACAUUCCAAUUGGCAUGGCUAGCUUACAUCUAAAUUACGAAGUAUUUUUUAGGGAUUUUAUGCAUCAUACCGCUAUAAUAUUGGGUUUUUUGGAAGUUACAUGUUUUACUCUGCUUUCUUGCACCCAAAAAAUGACAAUCCCACCUUGUGUGAUUGACGAGUCAUCGUUCGAGCGGUGGAGGAGAUCGAUCAAGCCUACGACGAAGGUAAUGCUGAUUUUGCUUAAUUGUGAUUGGGCAUUCUUUUUGUCAUUUUUUCUAUUGAUUUGAGGUAAUGUGGCAGGAAAUUAGAUGCGUGUGUAUGAAUUAAAAUGCUAUUUUGGGAGGAAUUGAAUCCGACGACUAGUUUCCAAUUCCAAGUGACUUAAAAGCUUAGACAUGAAGCUUCGACGUACAAAUUCUAUUGUUCUUAGCUUUAUUUCUAAUCUUAUUUAAGUAAUUCGAAGUCCAUAACAAGAUCGGAAGGUUCUACCUUUAGACCAGGCAUGAAGGUAUAAUCUAAGAGAUUGUUAUAUACACCUGGGUGCAAGGUACACCCAAGAGCAUUUUGUUCUCAUUUUUCGUUAAUUUUUUGCAAAUUUUAAGCUCAAACCGGAUCCAAAGGGAAAAAAUGACCCCCCCUAAACCUCUAAAAAACAUGUUAUUAACGGAUUUGGUGGUGAAAUCUAAAUUUUUCGUCUUUUUUGGGUGGUAUUUUAAAAUAAUUGUUUUUGGGAUGAUAUUAUCAAUAAGUGGGUUAUUUGUGGGUGGUAAAAUACAAAAUUUCUAUAUAAUUAUUAGAAUCUUUAGAAUUUCAAUUUAAUAAAAAGUAAUUUUAACUCAACAAAAGUAAGAUGAAGGGAAAAUGAUCUCAAGUAUAAAUAUUUAUUCUACCCAGGCCAGCAAACAAUGGGGCAAGCAUCAGUUAAGGGCUCUUUUUCCCCGAUAACGUCACAAGCCAAAUUAUGGGCAUUUUGCUACCGGGAAACCCCAUGUUAGACACUCUGGUAUGGGACCUCACUACGUUUGGAAUAUUUCACUUAAGUCAACUAUUUGAGCACUUAAACUCAGUCUCGAAGAUAGUAAGUGGCCUUAACAUUGGAUCUGGAAAAUAGAUAUCCCUUCAAUUUUCCAAAUUUUUUAUGGAAAGAUUUUCAUACCAGCUUAGGAGUUAGAGAUACACUUUACAAAAGAAACAUUGUCUCUUUAAAUACUACUAGCCCCCUUUGUAAUCAUCAAAAUGAAACAAUUGAUCAACUCUUCCUAAAUUGUAUAAGAAUUAGAGAAAUUUUGAACCACUUAUACUAAGAAAUUGUUAAAUUGUACAACGUCUUUAUUAAAUUUAACCAAAACAUUGAUAUUAAUAUACCUAUUAAGAAAACACCCAAACAUUUUAAGGAAAUUUAUUCUUCUAAUUUGGAGUAUAUGGAAAUAGUACGUAGAAUGCUAUUCUAUUUUGCAAUGAGACCUUUAACAUGUUUAGGAUUAACAGAUUUUUCACCAUAUACCAUUGAGUUAAUGCAUAAUUCACCAUAUACCACACAAAACUUUCUAAUACACCAAAUACCACUGAGUUAAUGUAGAUUAACACAAAAUGCCUUUUUUUGGUAACUGUCGUUAGUCUGUCGUUAACGCCGUUAGUAAUUAAGGUUAAUUGUGACACGUGGCUGUCACUUAUUGGCUCUUAUUAAUAAUAAUUAACUAAUUACUUAAAUAAAGGAUUAAAAAACUUAAAAAAAAAAACCCACCACCCAUAUCCACCGCCCUCCCA